ACUUUAUAUGUGCGACCGCGUACUUUUUGUAGAACGGUCCGGCGAGUUACGCUUACUGGCAAGGUUAAGCACUUCAGGUGUGGAGCCGUAGGGAAACCAAGUCUUAAGAGGGCCAGAGUCAGUAGGAGUAGACCCGAAACCGGGUGAUCUAUCCAUGUCCAGGUUGAAGCUGCCGUAAGAGGUAGUGGAGGACCGAACCCACAUCCGUUGAAAAGGGUGGGGAUGAGGUGUGGAUAGGGGAGAAAUUCCAAUCGAACCCGGAGAUAGCUGGUUCUCCUCGAAAUAGCUUUAGGGCUAGCCUCGAUACAGAUUUGCGGAGGUAGAGCACUGAAUUUCCUAGGGGGCGUCAAAGCCUACCGAAGAAUAUCAAACUCCGAAUGCCGCGUAAUCGAUUAUCGGGAGUCAGACUGCACGAGAUAAGUUGGGCGGUCAAAAGGGAAAGAGCCCAGACCUUCAGUUAAGGUCCCCAAGUGCGCGUUAAGUGGAAAAGGAUGUGGGAUUUCGAAGACAACCAGGAUGUUGGCUCAGAAGCAGCCAUACAUUCAAAGAGUGCGUAAUAGCUCACUGGUCGAGAGGUCCUGCGCCGAAAAUGUCCGGGGCUGAAACGCGCCACCGAAACUAAGGAACCGAAAGGUUGGUAGAGGAGCAUUGCAUGCGGAACGAAGCAGUACCGUAAGGAGCUGUGGACUGCAUGGAAGAGAGAAUGCCGGAAUGAGUAGCGAGAAUAAGGUGAGAAUCCUUAUGGCCGAAUAUCCAAGGUUUCCAGAGUAAAGCUGAUCUGCUCUGGGUAAGUCGGGGCCUAAGGCGAGGACGAGAGUCGUAGCCGAUGGACAACAGGUGGAGAUUCCUGUACUGCGGUAUGACAGAACUGUGGGGACACGUAAGGAAAGCGGAAGCCGGGAAUGGAAAGCCCGGUGCAAGCGGGGUACCAGUCACUUUGGCAAAUCCGGGUGGCAAUGGGAAGCCGUGAUGCGGAGCGAAAUAAAGUAGCGAAGUCCGUGAGCCAUGCGUCAAGAAAAGCCGCUAUCGUUUAUACCGUACCCGUACCGUAAACCGACACAGGUGGAUGAGGAGAGAAUCCUAAGGCCGGCGGAAGAAGCAUUGUCAAGGAACUCGGCAAAAUGGCCCCGUAACUUAGGGAUAAGGGGUGCCUGGGAAACCAGGCCGCAGAGAAUAGGCUCAAGCAACUGUUUAGCAAAAACACAGGUCUAUGCGAAACCGAAAGGUGAGGUAUAUGGGCUGACGCCUGCCCGGUGCUGGAAGGUUAAGAGGAGAGGUUAGCGCAAGCGAAGCUUUGAAUUUAAGCCCCAGUAAACGGCGGCCGUAACUAUAACGGUCCUAAGGUAGCGAAAUUCCUUGUCGGGUAAGUUCCGACCCGCACGAAAGGCGUAAUGAUUUGAGCGCUGUCUCGACAAUGCAUCCGGUGAAAUUGAAGUACCAGUGAAGAUGCUGGUUACCUGCGCCAGGACGGAAAGACCCCAUGGAGCUUUACUCCAGUUUGGUACUGGGAUUCGGUAUUGCAUGUACAGGAUAGGUGGGAGACUAGGAGGUAGUGACGCCAGUUGCUACGGAGUCGAUGUUGGGAUACCACCCUUGCAGUAUUGGGUUUCUAACCAGCCGCCGUGACCCGGCGGUGGGACAAUGCCAGGCGGGGAGUUUGACUGGGGCGGUCGCCUCCGAAAGGGUAUCGGAGGCGCCCAAAGGUUCCCUCAGAAUGGACGGAAACCAUUCGAAGAGUGCAAAGGCAGAAGGGAGCUUGACUGCGACACCGACGGGUGGAGCAGGUACGAAAGUAGGACUUAGUGAUCCGGUGGUAUGAAAGUGGGAUUGCCAUCGCUCAACGGAUAAAAGCUACCCUGGGGAUAACAGGCUUAUCACUCCCAAGAGUUCACAUCGACGGAGUGGUUUGGCACCUCGAUGUCGGCUCAUCGCAUCCUGGGGCUGUAGCAGGUCCCAAGGGUUGGGCUGUUCGCCCAUUAAAGCGGUACGCGAGCUGGGUUCAGAACGUCGUGAGACAGUUCGGUCCCUAUCCGGCGUGGGCGUAGGAUAU
Molecule: ribosomal RNA, 2050 nt
Filed under: human gut metagenome
Description: bacterial LSU rRNA
Rfam family: Bacterial large subunit ribosomal RNA
Source: RNAcentral